Molecule: ribosomal RNA, 497 nt
Filed under: uncultured bacterium
Lineage: Bacteria
Description: partial 16S ribosomal RNA
Rfam family: Bacterial small subunit ribosomal RNA
Source: RNAcentral
GAUGAACGCUGGCGGCGUGCCUAAUACAUGCAAGUCGAGCGAACAGACGAGGAGCUUGCUCCUCUGACGUUAGCGGCGGACGGGUGAGUAACACGUGGAUAACCUACCUAUAAGACUGGGAUAACUUCGGGAAACCGGAGCUAAUACCGGAUAAUAUCUUGAACCGCAUGGUUCAAUAGUGAAAGACGGUUUUGCUGUCACUUAUAGAUGGAUCCGCGCCGCAUUAGCUAGUUGGUAAGGUAACGGCUUACCAAGGCAACGAUGCGUAGCCGACCUGAGAGGGUGAUCGGCCACACUGGAACUGAGACACGGUCCAGACUACUACGGGAGGCAGCAGUAGGGAAUCUUCCGCAAAGGGCGAAAGCCUGACGGAGCAACGCCGCGUGAGUGAUGAAGGUCUUCGGAUCGUAAAACUCUGCUAUUAGGGAAGAACAAAUGUGUAAGUAAAUAUGCACGUCUUGACGGUACCUAAUCAGAAAGCCACGGCUAACUACGUG